RNAcentral lists this ribosomal RNA (1313 nucleotides) under Acinetobacter haemolyticus. RNAcentral describes it as "bacterial SSU rRNA". It matches the Rfam family "Bacterial small subunit ribosomal RNA", at positions 31 to 1359 of the family's 1533-position model. Lineage: Bacteria; Pseudomonadati; Pseudomonadota; Gammaproteobacteria; Moraxellales; Moraxellaceae. The record is from RNAcentral.
GAACGCUGGCGGCAGGCUUAACACAUGCAAGUCGAGCGGGGAAGGUAGCUUGCUACUACCUAGCGGCGGACGGGUGAGUAAUGCUUAGGAAUCUGCCUAUUAGUGGGGGACAACAUUCCGAAAGGAAUGCUAAUACCGCAUACGUCCUACGGGAGAAAGCAGGGGAUCUUCGGACCUUGCGCUAAUAGAUGAGCCUAAGUCGGAUUAGCUAGUUGGUGGGGUAAAGGCCUACCAAGGCGACGAUCUGUAGCGGGUCUGAGAGGAUGAUCCGCCACACUGGGACUGAGACACGGCCCAGACUCCUACGGGAGGCAGCAGUGGGGAAUAUUGGACAAUGGGCGGAAGCCUGAUCCAGCCAUGCCGCGUGUGUGAAGAAGGCCUUUUGGUUGUAAAGCACUUUAAGCGAGGAGGAGGCUACUCUAGUUAAUACCUAGAGAUAGUGGACGUUACUCGCAGAAUAAGCACCGGCUAACUCUGUGCCAGCAGCCGCGGUAAUACAGAGGGUGCGAGCGUUAAUCGGAUUUACUGGGCGUAAAGCGUGCGUAGGCGGCUGAUUAAGUCGGAUGUGAAAUCCCUGAGCUUAACUUAGGAAUUGCAUUCGAUACUGGUCAGCUAGAGUAUGGGAGAGGAUGGUAGAAUUCCAGGUGUAGCGGUGAAAUGCGUAGAGAUCUGGAGGAAUACCGAUGGCGAAGGCAGCCAUCUGGCCUAAUACUGACGCUGAGGUACGAAAGCAUGGGGAGCAAACAGGAUUAGAUACCCUGGUAGUCCAUGCCGUAAACGAUGUCUACUAGCCGUUGGGGCCUUUGAGGCUUUAGUGGCGCAGCUAACGCGAUAAGUAGACCGCCUGGGGAGUACGGUCGCAAGACUAAAACUCAAAUGAAUUGACGGGGGCCCGCACAAGCGGUGGAGCAUGUGGUUUAAUUCGAUGCAACGCGAAGAACCUUACCUGGUCUUGACAUAGUAAGAACUUUCCAGAGAUGGAUUGGUGCCUUCGGGAACUUACAUACAUCAGCUCGUGUCGUGAGAUGUUGGGUUAAGUCCCGCAACGAGCGCAACCCUUUUCCUUAUUUGCCAGCGGGUUAAGCCGGGAACUUUAAGGAUACUGCCAGUGACAAACUGGAGGAAGGCGGGGACGACGUCAAGUCAUCAUGGCCCUUACGACCAGGGCUACACACGUGCUACAAUGGUCGGUACAAAGGGUUGCUACCUAGCGAUAGGAUGCUAAUCUCAAAAAGCCGAUCGUAGUCCGGAUUGGAGUCUGCAACUCGACUCCAUGAAGUCGGAAUCGCUAGUAAUCGCGGAUCAGAAUGCCG